GCAUUAUGAACUGGGGGGGAGAAAAUCACUACUGGUUGCUUUGCUUGCAGUUCGCAUUUGGACUUGUGCUUGCAGAAAUUGAGCUGAACUUCCUUCAGUGUUACUGCAUCUGUGAGGAUUAACAAUGAUGUGGCUCUCUUACAUCAAGAAGUGAGAAAAUUUUGGAGGUAAAGUAAAGGGGAAAUAAAGUAGAAAUGAUUCUUAAGUCA
RNAcentral lists this long non-coding RNA (209 nucleotides) under Oryctolagus cuniculus (rabbit). Its description in RNAcentral is "lncRNA (ENSOCUG00000036912.1)". The record is from RNAcentral. Lineage: Eukaryota; Metazoa; Chordata; Mammalia; Lagomorpha; Leporidae.